UACGGAGGGGGCUAGCGUUGUUCGGAAUCACUGGGCGUAAAGCGCACGUAGGCGGAUUGUUAAGUCGGGGGUGAAAUCCUGGAGCUCAACUCCAGAACUGCCUUCGAUACUGGCGAUCUUGAGUCCGGGAGAGGUGAGUGGAACUCCGAGUGUAGAGGUGAAAUUCGUAGAUAUUCGGAAGAACACCAGUGGCGAAGGCGGCUCACUGGCCCGGUACUGACGCUGAGGUGCGAAAGCGUGGGGAGCAAACAGG
RNAcentral lists this ribosomal RNA (253 nucleotides) under uncultured bacterium. Its description in RNAcentral is "partial 16S ribosomal RNA". It matches the Rfam family "Bacterial small subunit ribosomal RNA", at positions 524 to 776 of the family's 1533-position model. The record is from RNAcentral.